UGUUCGAUUAAUAUGUGCGUGUUUUAAUUUUUUUUAUCCACUGUUGUUCUUCGUGGCUUGUUGAUUCGUAAGGUACGUCGUUUUUGACGUUGUAAUCGUUUUUCACCACGAGAAAAUCUGUGGUUAGAUUAGAAUUUCAAAUUGUAUUUGUUUUUCGGUUAUUAUGAAAAACGAGACGAAGAACAAGGCAACACAAAGAACAAUGCCCGUUCAGUUUUUUUGUUGGUCGCCCGGCACCAGGACCACCGUCCGGCGAAGCACUGCCGCGUCCGGGUGAAGGACAACUGCGUCCAGUGUGACAGAGCAAGCCUCGGAUUUGUUUCCAAGCAUGUUAAGGCAAUGCGCUGUCGGGCUAUGACUGCGGUCUCUCUUGGCGUCGGUGGUUGGGGGCCUUCCGGCGUUCCUUACCGGCUCAACUGCCAGAGGUCUAUGUUGUGUGCAGACGUGCAUCGUGUUGUGUCAUUUUCACUCGGCGGAAGUUUCAGCGGCGUGCGGACGGUGGGUAUGGCGACAGAGGCAGCGCCGCGCUAAGAGAUGUCAGAAGAACAGAGUAGCAUUGCACUGCAAAUUCCGGGACCGGCGCACAGUUUGGUGCGGCCGUGUUUUUUGUGUGGCGGCGCUGCGAUGCUGGUGUCGAGCAGCGGCUCGCCGGAGUAGGUGGCCUGGCGGAAAGGGUGUACAGGGCGGGAGGUGGACGGCGAGCUCAGGCUGCGGCGGCGCCGCUAAGGGCGGCGCAAACCCUAGGCGGUGGAAGAGCUGCAGAAACCCUAGCCGCAAAGCCUAAUUUUGACCGAGUCAGCGCGGGUCAACGGAUCUGGGUCUGGGCAUCUGAGCCGGAUUUGGGCUGUUGGAUGCGGGCCUGGGCGCUGGCAGCCUGUCUGGGCCGAGUUUUUGGGCCUGUGCGCGCCCUUCGAGCUCAAAAGGCUGUGUUUGGGUGGUUUGGGCUCUUUUUGGCGAGAUUUGGGGCCCAAUUUCGAGUUUUUAGACUUUUUAACCUAGUUUUAUUUAUUUAUUUUCUAUUUUUUUAAUUUAAUAGAUUAGAAAGGAAUUCCACGAAUGAGCCAUGAAGAAUUAUUUUUUAUUUAUUUUGUUUAUUCUUCGCAUGUCGUGGAUGUAUUAAUUAUGCAAGAGCAUGUAGUGGAUGUUUAAGUGCUUUGGAUAUCGUAGUUAUAGCAUAUCCUUUUUGUUGAUAAUUAUUUAUUAACUGCGCUUAGACGAACAUGGAAUUAAGCAAAAUUGGAGAUGGAACUUGUGGAUGGAAGAAGUGGACGUUGAUCGAAUUUUGCAUGGAAUUAAUCGAGCAUUGCAUGGAUAUUGAUGAAGUUUGGAUGACUCUUUCCAUCCGGAAGAAGAUUUGGUCUUGGAAUAUUUGCUUGGAUUUUAAUUAAACUUUAAACUUUUGAUUAAUUAUGUAAUUGGGCCUUUUUGUUCGAAUUUUGACAGCCCAAUUUGAAAUUGCGGCUAUUUGUGAAUUGUGGGAGUUAAUUCCCUUAGUUUAAUUCUAAUGACCUAGCUGCCACUUUUAAUAUAAGAUAGGAUUAGUUGACUUUUGGCAACAACUUUUGAUUCCUUAAUUUUUUGCGGUUCACGUUUUUAUUGCUAGUUUGAUU
This is a long non-coding RNA of Salvia miltiorrhiza (redroot sage), 1610 nucleotides long. RefSeq lists it as uncharacterized. The record is from RefSeq and is a predicted model, not a curated record. Lineage: Eukaryota; Viridiplantae; Streptophyta; Magnoliopsida; Lamiales; Lamiaceae. The transcript has 2 exons.